RNAcentral lists this long non-coding RNA (1224 nucleotides) under Pan troglodytes (chimpanzee). Its description in RNAcentral is "lncRNA (ENSPTRG00000054437.1)". The record is from RNAcentral. Lineage: Eukaryota; Metazoa; Chordata; Mammalia; Primates; Hominidae.
ACAAGGAGUGGUUGCGAGAUAGGAGGUUUCCCCACUGUGAAAGAUCAUCACGUACUUCCCAAGCUCUGAAUGCGUGAAGAGUGAGGUGCGCGAGGCAUACAUGGGUGGCGGAUGACAUCAUUUUCCACACUGGGGCUCUGCUGCUGCACUCUGAAAGAUUCAUUUCUGAAUGGAGAGACGCUUCGGGUCUCCUGUACCACUCUCAAAGGCCUGAAGGCCAGGAAGACCAGACCAGUCCUCCCAGGGGUCUUCCAGGAUGUCAGGAACGGGGAGGGUAGAGCUUCAGAGGGCUGCAGGUAGAACUGGACCUUCUGCCAGCUCUGAGCAGGUGAUACACUUGGGAUGCAGAAAUGCCACCUGCUCUUGGCCGUCAGCACAGAACCCCACCCACCCACCAGACCACAGAAGGAGGGAACUGGAAUCCAGAUACCUGAGGCGAUCUUGCAAGAAGUCCUCUAAUCUGGAAUGUGGUAUUCAUUUGGAAGCAGAAACUGGUGGUCUGUCUCUUGUUAUACAAGGAUGCUGGAGCUCUGCAUCAAGGUGGCUGAAGAGGCUCUGGAGGGCCAAGGAUGGAAGGUGGCCCCAUGGCACUCAGCCACAGUCUCCAAACCCAACAGGCAAUGAAUUUCCCAGCUACAGCUACAGUCAGCAACACUGAGUCAACAAAGGGACCAGCCUAAUUGUUCUAUGAAAAUUUUGCCUACAAAAAUCUACUUAAGAUAAUGCAUUUGAGGUUUAGACUUGUUAUAGCCUCUAUGAGUACUUUACUCCUAUGGCUGACCAGUGUUCCAUUUUAUUUUUAGACAUACUGCCUUGUGUUUAUUUAUUCAUCCACUGACAUUGACAUCCGAGUGAUGUCCACUUUUUUGAUUACUGUAAAUAGCACUGCUAUAAACAUUGGUGUACGAGUUUUUAUUUGGAAACCUGCUUUCAAUUCUCUUGGGUAUAUACCUAGAAGUACAAUUGCUAUGCAAAGUCAAGGCAGUUAGACACAAAAAACUACAUGUCGUAUGAUUUCAUUUAUGUGAAAUCUCCAGAACAGGCAAAUCCACAGAUACAGAAAACAAAUUUGUGGUCUCCAGGGACUAGAGAUGGGGGAAAUGGGAGUGACUGGAUAAUGGAUACAGAGUUUCCAUUUUGGGUAAUAAAAAAUCAUUCUGUAACUAAUGGUGGUGCUGUACAACAUUGAGAAUGUACACAGUUCUCUGACUUGAAAACUUUAAA